CGGGUGAAUUGUUGCUGGCAAGGCAAACGAAGCACCGCGCCGUACGCUGGCCCCGUUGUGCGGCAGAGGAAGGGGUGUAGCAGCAGUUAGGGGUUAAGGGUUUAGUGCGCGAGGCUGCUGGUUUGGGAUUGGAGCCUAGGGGCCUUCGUGCGGUUUAAGCGGUUGGGAGGGGAGUCUAACCCGUACGGUCGGGGGGCUUUGAGGUCGGGCACUGGAGCGGCCUCUGCUACCGGAGCGACGGCGGCGUAGGGGCGGCCUAAGCCGGGUAGCGGCACCGGAGGGACCACGAGAAGGAGGAGAAGGAGAUGUGGGCGAGCCUACCCUUGGGAGGCGCCGAGGGCCCGAGGCUAAGCGCGGGCGAGGUGGCCUCCGAGGAGAGGCCACGGCUAGGGCGGUCGGGGCGGCGCAGGUCUCCGCCCUUGGAAAGCCUCCAGUGGCCCGACUUGCCGCUCGUCGACCUCUUGGGGAGGUGGCGCACGCGGCCGUAGCUGGCGGUGCUCCCAAAGCCCAGGGUCACGCUCAAGGAGGCCCGAGUGGGCGUCACGUCGAGGCCGCCCAAGCAGCUGAUGGACCUGAAGAAGAUGACGUCGGAUCUCUUCUACAGACGCGACGACGCCGAUGGCGGCUGUCACCGACCACAAUGGGACGAGGGGAAACCAUUACCACGAGGACUACACAAACGGUCGUAACGUCGCAAAUACCCCAGACCGCGGCCCCUACAGCCCGACUUGUCGCACGACCCGCCUCGCCACAAACAAUGGACGCAGCAACAACCCCGUCAUAGUAACAGGCAGCGCCUCUUCUUACACGUCUAACUAACCUCCACGAAACACUCCCUACAACCUAAGAAGGACUAGUGAAACCACCGUGACAGAUAAUACAACUAACAGCCCUUCCACUGGCAAACCCCUCGAUACGACAAACAUAGCUAAAUACACCAAAUACGUAAACACCACCGACGUUUACUCAAUAAUUCCUUCGUACGUGCCUACGACUUCAAACUACAUCAGUGUGGUAACGAAGGCCACUCCCCUUCAUAGAAGAGUGUGCCUGAUCUCCUACUACUAAGACACAUGUCAAGUGAAGAACUCCUCCUAUGUUCACUACUGCGCCGGGUCCAUUUGUGUAGUAACGGCGUCACCUACACCCGAAGAGUACACCGAUAGAUGAGUUUAGUUCCCUCUCUACCAAGUGGACUGUCCGGAAACACCCCAACCUUACUUCUUCCUUCUCACCUAUGGAGGUGCGAAUUGAUGAGGUUUGACAAAGACAAAAACCUCGAUGGGAACUGUUAUGGUUCUUUCAACUGCUAAGGUUAUCAACUCCUUCUGGCGACCAGUGUUCUUAUACGACAACGGUCACGACCGAACCGUGGAGAUGAGAAUCGUAAAGACACCUUGUCGGUCCUACCUCAUAGGUGCCCACGGUCGCAUCGUCGUAUACACUAACGACCAUAAAAACCCUAACGUGAACGUCCAGAACGAAAAUGUAAGUGGUCAGGGCUGGCGGGAGGUUCCUCUAUGAAUGAGGGUACCCACAAACCUCCCAAACACUACUCGUAGCAAACCAAGAUGUAGUAACGGUUACUCGACCAACGUGACAACCAACGUAAACCUCACUAUGAACCCUAAUUAGGAAGUUAAGAGCCAAAUUGCCACAAUCGUACCCCGUUAAGCUACCCACUGAAUUACAGUUUACACCGGAACCGUUACUUACCACCUCUACCACAUGUCUAACGAUACAGACCGACAAUACGUCCUGGAUACAAAUUAUGUGAACGACCGGAUCCUUAUAGCUACGAUGAACCUCGAACCAGCUGCCGUGGGUUGAGAAUACAAGAAGGCGUCCUGGCGAGAGAAUAAAUGUGCUACUCGAAGGACCAACGACCCAACUAGACCCGCGAACAAUGCGACGGUGCUUCGCCGUACGCUGGAUUGUUCUGCGAACCUCAACCGGAGUAACGAGAGAUGAGUCAAAAGGAAAAGUAAUCUCAUUCGUCACGAUACCCCUAUAACGGUGAGGGCCCGAACUUAAUCAACAAACACAGAUAACAUGUACUGACAGGAAAUAUGUCUACUUUACCUCAACAUGUAACAAGGAGACAAGACAACAAUACGGAGUCUAAGCCAGCAUACGGACAGUCCGAAAGAUCUGUUAUUUCGGUCUCGUACGGACGUUGACCAGAUGAAUAGACAUUCGAAUUAGCGGAAAGUACGACUAUCGUUAUUAAAA
Molecule: ribosomal RNA, 2232 nt
Filed under: Triticum aestivum (bread wheat)
Lineage: Eukaryota; Viridiplantae; Streptophyta; Magnoliopsida; Poales; Poaceae
Description: partial small subunit ribosomal RNA
Source: RNAcentral